CGUAGGUGGCAAGCGUUGUCCGGAUUUACUGGGCGUAAAGAGCGCGCAGGCGGUCGUUCAAGUCGCGUGUGAAAGCCCCCGGCUCAACUGGGGAGGGUCACGCGAUACUGAUCGACUCGAAGGCAGGAGAGGGUAGUGGAAUUCCCGGUGUAGUGGUGAAAUGCGUAGAUAUCGGGAGGAACACCAGUGGCGAAGGCGACCACCUGGCCUGUUUCUUGACGCUGAGGCGCGAAAGCUAGGGGAGCAAACGGGAUUAGAUACCCCGGUAGUCCUAGCCGUAAACGAUGGACACUAGGUGUUGGUGGUAUCAACCCCGCCAGUGCCGAAGCUAACGCAUUAAGUGUCCCGCCUGGGGAGUACGGCCGCAAGGCUA
This 373-nucleotide ribosomal RNA is filed under the name uncultured organism. Its description in RNAcentral is "bacterial SSU rRNA". It matches the Rfam family "Bacterial small subunit ribosomal RNA", at positions 526 to 896 of the family's 1533-position model. The record is from RNAcentral.